This 279-nucleotide unclassified non-coding RNA is filed under the name plant metagenome. RNAcentral's name for it is "partial contains small subunit ribosomal RNA, internal transcribed spacer 1, and 5.8S ribosomal RNA". The record is from RNAcentral.
UCUCCGUUGGUGAACCAGCGGAGGGAUCAUUACCGAGUUUUUCUACUCCCAAACCCCUGUGAACUUAUACCUUUACUGUUGCUUCGGCGGGUUAACGCCCCGGAAGGCCCAUAAAGCCGCCGGAACCAGGCGCCCGCCGGGGGACCCAAACUUGUUUAUUUCUUACUUUUCUUGUCUGAGUGAAAUUUAAAACCAAUGAUUCAAAACUUUCAACAACUGAUCUAUGGGUUCUGUCAUAGAUGAAGAACUCAGCAGACCGGAAGAGCAUACGUCUGUACU